ACGCCCCUCUCCGGCGGCAUCAACGUGGGUUCAGAAAACCCUAUCGCUGAGGAAGGACGUUCGAAGCUUUUAUAGCCCCCGAAGAGUUAGAGGCCGCAACGGCCAAUAGGCCUGGCCCACUGGUCUAGCUGUAUGCGGGCCGGUUAAUGAACUGGGCUCUCACACAUAAUGCCACGCAAAUUAGAUGAAUAUACAUAUAACAAUUCACAGCGACAAAUGUGUUCUAUUGCACUAAUGCAUGCACUGCAAAGUUCUUUUGUUUCAUGUCUUGCAUAAUAGUUGCUUCGGUGGGAUAAAAGAAAGAUUUAGAAGUCAGAGAAAGAUAACUGGCUAUUAGCUUGUUUUGCAAUGGAUGCUAUAAUUGCUCUUCAAGUUCAACACAUGGUUUUUUUCAUUUUGAAUGUCAAGAGUGCAAUAGUUGGAUACCUAAGUCCAAUGUGCCUCUUGCAAAUUAUGUUCAUGCGGUUUAUAGAAGUUGGAUGCAUUUCCCCCUAGGUUUAUCGGAUGGUGAUUGGGAAACCUAAUUUUAACUCAAAGGAGUCGUGACCCGACCAAUCCAGAUCCUCAACCCAGAAGACAUGCAACCAGUUGCUACCAUGACACCCGGGCAAAGGAAAAAAAAAAAGAAGAAAAAUAUAAGCCCAGUUAUAAGGGCAGUCUUGUCAAAGUUUUGAGUGACGAGGGUCAUAGGCUAGAAAGUAU
RNAcentral lists this long non-coding RNA (702 nucleotides) under Phoenix dactylifera (date palm). Its description in RNAcentral is "long non-coding RNA (PDAC_LNC019166)". Lineage: Eukaryota; Viridiplantae; Streptophyta; Magnoliopsida; Arecales; Arecaceae. The record is from RNAcentral.